This 85-nucleotide transfer RNA is filed under the name Felis catus (domestic cat). It matches the Rfam family "tRNA". Rfam says of the family: Transfer RNA (tRNA) molecules are approximately 80 nucleotides in length. Their secondary structure includes four short double-helical elements and three loops (D, anti-codon, and T loops). Lineage: Eukaryota; Metazoa; Chordata; Mammalia; Carnivora; Felidae. RNAcentral also lists the same sequence under 1 other name. The record is from Rfam by way of RNAcentral.
GCCUGGGUGGCUCAGUCAUUUGAGCAUCUGACUUCAGCUCAGGUCGUGAUCUCAUGGUUCGUGGGUUCGAGCCCUGCUUCAGGCU